This is a long non-coding RNA of Cydia splendana, 428 nucleotides long. RefSeq lists it as uncharacterized. The record is from RefSeq and is a predicted model, not a curated record. The transcript has 3 exons. Lineage: Eukaryota; Metazoa; Arthropoda; Insecta; Lepidoptera; Tortricidae.
AAAUGUGAAAUAAAUAUACCACUUACUUCGUUUACUCUAACGUUAAAUUAAGUGAUACUUAUACUUUCGUAAUGGAGAUGAGUUUUAAAAGAGCUAUUCAUUUAAAACAUUUUCGCUCCAAUGCUGCGGUCGACAUAUUACAAAGAUGGGCUUACAAUAUUACUUAUGCUUCUUUAGAAAAGCCUCUCCUAACUACGUUAAUAACAAUGACUGCUAGUGUAAUCUUCCUAACAGCAAUGUUAAUACUGGCAGUCAUUUUUGCUGGUGUAAUAUGUCUUACAAGCAUUAUUUUGUUAAUAGAAGGGUUUUUAUUGGUGGUGCUAAUAAUUGCAGUUAGUUUACUUACAAUUAUUGGUUUAUACAUUUAUGUCGUUGGCAUUACCUUUUAUUUUAAAGCUGAAAGCAAAGAAGGCGUAAACACGGCAGAA